RNAcentral lists this ribosomal RNA (492 nucleotides) under uncultured bacterium. RNAcentral's name for it is "partial 16S ribosomal RNA". It matches the Rfam family "Bacterial small subunit ribosomal RNA", at positions 29 to 507 of the family's 1533-position model. The record is from RNAcentral.
AGUGAACGCUGGCGGUAGGCCUAACACAUGCAAGUCGAACGGCAGCACAGUAAGAGUUUGCUCUUACGGGUGGCGAGUGGCGGACGGGUGAGGAAUACAUCGGAAUCUACUUUUUCGUGGGGGAUAACGUAGGGAAACUUACGCUAAUACCGCAUACGACCUACGGGUGAAAGCAGGGGAUCUUCGGACCUUGCGCGAUUGAAUGAGCCGAUGUCGGAUUAGCUAGUUGGCGGGGGAAAGGCCCACCAAGGCGACGAUCCGUAGCUGGUCUGAGAGGAGGAUCGGCCACACUGGAACUGAGACACGGUCCAGACUCCUACGGGAGGCAGCAGUGGGGAAUAUUGGACAAUGGGCGCAAGCCUGAUCCAGCCAUACCGCGUGGGUGAAGAAGGCCUUCGGGUUGUAAAGCCCUUUUGUUGGGAAAGAAAAGCAGCAGGUUAAUACCCCGCUGUUCUGACGGUACCCAAAAAAUAAGCACCGGCUAACUUCGUG